RNAcentral lists this ribosomal RNA (484 nucleotides) under uncultured bacterium. RNAcentral's name for it is "partial 16S ribosomal RNA". It matches the Rfam family "Bacterial small subunit ribosomal RNA", at positions 30 to 507 of the family's 1533-position model. The record is from RNAcentral.
AUUGAACGCUGGCGGCAGGCCUAACACAUGCAAGUCGAGCGGAUGAAGGGAGCUUGCUCCUGGAUUCAGCGGCGGACGGGUGAGUAAUGCCUAGGAAUCUGCCUGGUAGUGGGGGAUAACGUCCGGAAACGGGCGCUAAUACCGCUUACGUCCUGAGGGAGAAAGUGGGGGAUCUUCGGACCUCACGCUAUCAGAUGAGCCUAGGUCGGAUUAGCUAGUUGGUGGGGUAAAGGCCUACCAAGGCGACGAUCCGUAACUGGUCUGAGAGGAUGAUCAGUCACACUGGAACUGAGACAGGGUCCAGAGGCCUAAGGGAGGCAGCAGUGGGGAAUAUUGGACAAUGGGCGAAAGCAUGAUCCAGCCAGGGCGCGUGUGUGAAGAAGGUCUUCGGAUUGUAAAGCACGUUAAGUUGGGAGGAAGGGCAGUAAGUUAAUACCUAGCUGUUUUGACGUUACCAGCAGAAUAAGCACCGGCUAACUUCGUG